This 443-nucleotide ribosomal RNA is filed under the name uncultured bacterium. RNAcentral's name for it is "bacterial SSU rRNA". It matches the Rfam family "Bacterial small subunit ribosomal RNA", at positions 97 to 520 of the family's 1533-position model. The record is from RNAcentral.
GGCGAACGGGUGAGUUAUUACAUCGGAACCGUGCCUGUGGUGGGGGAUCAACCCGGCGAAAGCCGGACUAAUACCUGCAUGAGACCUGAGGGUGAAAGCGGGGGAUCGCAAGACCUCGCGCUAUGUGGAGCGGCCGAUGUCAGAUUAGCUAGUUGGUGGGGUAAAGGCCUACCAAGGCGACGAUCUGUAGCUGGUCUGAGAGGACGACCAGCCACACUGGGACUGAGACACGGCCCAGACUCCAUACGGGAGGCAGCAAGUGGGGAAUUUUGGACAAUGGGCAGCAAGCCUGAUCCAGGCCAUGCCGCGUGCGGGAAGAAGGCCUUCGGGUUGUAAAACCGCUUUUUGUCGGGGAAGAAAAGCUUCUUGGCUAAUACCUAAGGAGUGCUGACGGUACCCGAAGAAUUAAGCACCCGGGCUUAACUACGUGCAAGGAGCCGGGG